GUGGGUAACCUGCCUUGUACUGGGGGACAACAGUUGGAAACGACUGCUAAUACCGCAUAAGCGCACAGCUUCGCAUGAAGCGGUGUGAAAAACUCCGGUGGUACAAGAUGGACCCGCGUCUGAUUAGCUGGUUGGUGAGGUAACGGCCCACCAAGGCGACGAUCAGUAGCCGGCCUGAGAGGGUGAACGGCCACAUUGGGACUGAGACACGGCCCAAACUCCUACGGGAGGCAGCAGUGGGGAAUAUUGCACAAUGGGGGAAACCCUGAUGCAGCAACGCCGCGUGAGUGAAGAAGUAUUUCGGUAUGUAAAGCUCUAUCAGCAGGAAAGAAAAUGACGGUACCUGACUAAGAAGCCCCGGCUAACUACGUGCCAGCAGCCGCGGUAAUACGUAGGGGGCAAGCGUUAUCCGGAUUUACUGGGUGUAAAGGGAGCGUAGACGGUUUUGCAAGUCUGAAGUGAAAGCCCGGGGCUUAACCCCGGGACUGCUUUGGAAACUGUAGAACUAGAGUGCAGGAGAGGUAAGUGGAAUUCCUAGUGUAGCGGUGAAAUGCGUAGAUAUUAGGAGGAACACCAGUGGCGAAGGCGGCUUACUGGACUGUAACUGACGUUGAGGCUCGAAAGCGUGGGGAGCAAACAGGAUUAGAUACCCUGGUAGUCCACGCCGUAAACGAUGAUUACUAGGUGUUGGUGGGUACGACCCAUCGGUGCC
RNAcentral lists this ribosomal RNA (712 nucleotides) under uncultured bacterium. Its description in RNAcentral is "bacterial SSU rRNA". It matches the Rfam family "Bacterial small subunit ribosomal RNA", at positions 117 to 847 of the family's 1533-position model. The record is from RNAcentral.